CAGUCGCCACGGUAAUACGAAGGGUGCAAGCGUUAAUCGGAAUUACUGGGCGUAAAGCGUGCGUAGGCGGUUUGUUAAGUCUGCUGUGAAAUCCCCGGGCUCAACCUGGGAAUGGCAGUGGAUACUGGCAAGCUAGAGUGUGUCAGGGGAUGGUGGAAUUCCCGGUGUAGCGGUGAAGUGCGUAGAGAUCGGGAGGAACAUCAGUGGCGAAGGCGGCCAUCUGGGACAACACUGACGCUGAGGCACGAAAGCGUGGGGAGCAAACAGGAUUAGAUACCCGUGUAGUCCCUGUCUCUUAUAA
Molecule: ribosomal RNA, 301 nt
Filed under: uncultured bacterium
Lineage: Bacteria
Description: partial 16S ribosomal RNA
Rfam family: Bacterial small subunit ribosomal RNA
Source: RNAcentral